This is a long non-coding RNA of Oncorhynchus tshawytscha (Chinook salmon), 1245 nucleotides long. RefSeq lists it as uncharacterized. The transcript is spliced from 3 exons. Lineage: Eukaryota; Metazoa; Chordata; Actinopteri; Salmoniformes; Salmonidae. The record is from RefSeq and is a predicted model, not a curated record.
UCAGGAGAGGAGAGAGUAUCAGGGAACGGUGUGUGUGCCAUGUUUCAGGGUUUUAAUAGAUGAGUAUGAAUCACAGGAUCUGUGAGGCACCGGUCAUUACAAAGCACUUACAGUGUAUCAGAGUAGAUCAAGUCGUUUGCAUGCCUCGUUAUACGGUUACCGCACAGUCAUUAUUUUAGUCAUUUAGAAUUAAGAUCAUUUUAAAAUCCUAAUCCUGGUCAUCCAUACAUAUCAGAGUUCACUGUUACUGUAUUCUGAGGUGGCAGCAGUACAUAUCAGAGUUCACUGUUACUGUAAUCUGAGGUGGCAGCAGUACAUAUCAGAGUUCACUGUUACUGUAAUCUGAGGUGGCAGCAGUACAUGCAGAGUUCACUGUUACUGUAUUCUGAGGUGGCAGCAGUACAUAUCAGAGUUCACUGUUACUGUAUUCUGAGGUGGCAGCAGUACAUAUCAGAGUUCACUGUAAUCUGAGGUGGCAGCAGUACAUAUCAGAGUUCACUGUUACUGUAAUCUGAGGUGGCAGCAGUACAUAUCAGAGUUCACUGUUACUGUAAUCUGAGGUGGCAGCAGUACAUAUCAGAGUUCACUGUUACUGUAUUCUGAGGUGGCAGCAGUACAUAUCAGAGUUCACUGUUACUGUAUUCUGAGGUGGCAGCAGUACAUAUCAGAGUUCACUGUUACUGUAUUCUGAGGUGGCAGCAGUACAUAUCAGAGUUCACUGUUACUGUAAUCUGAGGUGGCAGCAGUACAUAUCAGAGUUCACUGUUACUGUAUUCUGAGGUGGCAGCAGUACAUAUCAGAGUUCACUGUUACUGUAAUCUGAGGUGGCAGCAGUACAUAUCAGAGUUCACUGUUACUGUAAUCUGAGGUGGCAGCAGUACAUAUCAGAGUUCACUGUUACUGUAAUCUGAGGUGGCAGCAGUACAUAUCAGAGUUCACUGUUACUGUAAUCUGAGGUGGCAGCAGUACAUAUCAGAGUUCACUGUUACUGUAAUCUGAGGUGGCAGCAGUACAUAUCAGAGUUCACUGUUACUGUAAUCUGAGGUGGCAGCCGUACAUAUCAGAGUUCACUGUUACUGUAAUCUGAGGUGGCAGCAGUACAUAUCAGAGUUCACUGUUACUGUAAUCUGAGGUGGCAGCAGUACAUAUCAGAGUUCACUGUUACUGUAAUCUGAGGUGGCAGCAGUACAUAUCAGAGUUCACUGUUACUGUAAUCUGAGGUGGCAGCAGUACAUAUCAGAGUUA